RNAcentral lists this RNase P RNA (473 nucleotides) under Duncaniella sp. RNAcentral's name for it is "RNase P RNA component class A". It matches the Rfam family "Bacterial RNase P class A". Rfam says of the family: Ribonuclease P (RNase P) is a ubiquitous endoribonuclease, found in archaea, bacteria and eukarya as well as chloroplasts and mitochondria. Its best characterised activity is the generation of mature 5'-ends of tRNAs by cleaving the 5'-leader elements of precursor-tRNAs. The record is from RNAcentral. Lineage: Bacteria; Pseudomonadati; Bacteroidota; Bacteroidia; Bacteroidales; Muribaculaceae.
GCAGCAGGACGCGAAGUGUCGCUUGCCGUGGGUCAGCCCCGCGGGGAGAUCCUUAAAGAGGCGGCAAGAGGAAAGUCCGGGCAACGCAGAGCACCAUACUGUCUAACGGACAGCUAUCGGCGACGGUAGAGUAGCGUGACAGAGAAUGACUGCCUCCCGCAUCAUGAAAAGUGAGUCGGAAGGUGAGGGUGAAAAGGUGGGGUAAGAGCCCACCGGGUGUCGUGGCGACACGGCAUGCCGCACGUCUUAUGGGUUGCAAGGCCAUGUAUACCGGCGCGCCGUGAAAUCCGCGUGAGCGGAUGCGGCAAUGGGCUGCUCGUCCAUAGCCGAGGGGUAGGCUGCUUGAGUGGUCUCCGGAUCACCGAUUAGAUAAAUGACGCUUCCGGAGUGUCAACCCUGAGCCGGCAGUUGAGAAACCCCGGCACAAGGAAGUGGCACGCCGACAUAACCCGGCUUACAGGCCUGCUGCUUUU